UCCCGUCAAUUCAUUGAGUUUCACUCUUGCGAGCGUACUCCCCAGGUGGAACACUUAACGCUUUCGCUUAGCCCGCUGACUGUGUAUCGCCAACAGVGAGUGUUCAUCGUUUAGGGCGUGGACUACCAGGGUAUCUAAUCCUGUUUGAUCCCCACGCUUUUCGUGCCUCAGCGUCAAUAAGACCAUAGUAAGCUGCCUUCGCAAUCGGUGUUCUGAGACAUAUCUAUGCAUUUCACCGCUACUUGUCUCAUUCCGCCUACCUCUAGUCCAUUCAAGCCCAUCAGUAUCAAGGGCACUGCGAUAGUUGAGCUACCGUCUUUCACCCCUGACUUAACAGGCCGCCUACGCACCCUUUAAACCCAAUAAAUCCGGAUAACGCUUGGAUCCUCCGUAUUACCGCGGCUGCUGGCACGGAGUUAGCCGAUCCUUAUUCCUUCGGUACAUUCAGCUAUUUACACGUAAAUAGGUUUAUUCCCGAAUAAAAGCAGUUUACAACCCAUAGGGCAGUCUUCCUGCACGCGGCAUGGCUGGUUCAGAGUUGCCUCCAUUGACCAAUAUUCCUUACUGCUGCCUCCCGUAGGAGUCUGGUCCGUGUCUCAGUACCAGUGUGGGGGGCCAUCCUCUCAGAUCCCCUAGUCAUCGUCGCCUUGGUGGGCCGUUACCCCGCCAACUAGCUAAUGACACGCAUGCCCAUCUCCAUCCCAUAAAUGUUUGAUCAUUGGAUAAUGCCAUCCUGUGAUUUUAUGCGGUAUUAAUCCGGAUUUCUCCGGGCUAUCCCCCAGAUGAAGGUAGGUUGCAUACGCGUUACGCACCCGUGCGCCGGUCUCAAAGAAGCAAGCCUCUUCUACCCCUCGACUUGCAUGUAUUAGGCCUGCCGCUAGCGUUCAUCCUGAGCCAGAAUCAAACUCU
This 909-nucleotide ribosomal RNA is filed under the name uncultured Bacteroidota bacterium. RNAcentral describes it as "uncultured Bacteroidetes bacterium partial 16S ribosomal RNA". The record is from RNAcentral. Lineage: Bacteria; Pseudomonadati; Bacteroidota.